CUUACAUGGCCAGAGGGUUUCAAUUUGAGCUCCAAAUAAUAAUAAUAAAUUCCAUAAAGUGAUUCCAUGUGGAGAGGGGAGAUAAUCGUGCUUUAUGUUUACACAGUAGGGCCCACAAGAGUUUGGGUCAGGCAGAACACAGAGUGGUGUCUCACCUGCAGCUCGUCCUGGGGCUGAUGUGCCGCACCUGUUCUGCAGUAACAGCACAAAGAAGAUGGCGAGGGGAGAGCUGCUCUGGUUGGAGCUGGUGGGUUAGGGCUAAGUAGAGAGAGGAGAUGUGGUUUUCUGUGCUGAGUUGUAGCUGGGAUGCUGAAGUUAAACAUCUGGUUAAUUGAUAAAAAGAGCUACAGCAGCCCUGUACUUGUUACAGCCAUGCUGGGACACAGGAGCCUGGGUCUCCAUUAUGAUUACACUGCAGUGAGUGCCAAAGACUGUGCCUGGAAAUUGGAUCAGCUGAGCUUUGAACAGUAUCUGCUGCUUUUCCCACCGAAUCAGAAGCCAGCCUACCUCUGCAGAGCUUCACCGCCAUGCUCAGACCCAGGUGCAGCCCAGACAACACUGAAACCCUGGAAAUCUGCUGGCAGUGAGAAACGCGCAUCUCCUUCCCCCUCUGUGCUGUGGUUCUGUUUACCCGAGGUGCAGAUGAUUACCUGGUUUUACCCACAAUACCCAAGCAAAAUGAUUCUGCACUUUGGAAGGACACCUGGCUGCUCACCUCAGCACAUCCUGAUGCUGCUGCUUAUCAGGAAAAAAAACAGCUCAGUAAGUUCUCCUUGCUGCAAUAUUUUUGGUUGAGGCCUCUUUGAAGAUGCUCCUGAAAUCAUGAGAUCACCACAGCCCACCUUAUCUGGAGUGGAUAAAGGCAAGCAUCUGGUGCAAGUGGUAUUGAAACUCUCUUCCAAGGUAUGAUUGAAAAACUUCAGACACCCAGCCUCAAGGUACAGCAGG
Molecule: long non-coding RNA, 948 nt
Filed under: Gallus gallus (chicken)
Lineage: Eukaryota; Metazoa; Chordata; Aves; Galliformes; Phasianidae
Description: lncRNA (ENSGALG00010020678.1)
Source: RNAcentral